This 270-nucleotide unclassified non-coding RNA is filed under the name uncultured bacterium. RNAcentral's name for it is "16S-23S ribosomal RNA intergenic spacer". The record is from RNAcentral.
CUAAGGAUUAUGUUUUCUUGCCUGAAAUAUGGAAGAAACAUUCGGAAGAUGAACCUCCGGGUUCAUCACGUUAACGUUUUGCGUUCAGUUUUGAAGGCUCAUUUUGUUGAGCAUUCAAAGCUUUUUUAAUCUCUAUACUUGUUCAUUGAAAACUGAAUGAAACGACAUUGAAAGUAAAUCAAGUAAUCAACCGAGUCAUAGUAAUAUGAUUCAAGCAAAUCUUUUUAACCUUCUAAUUCCUAUCGCUAGGAAGAAGUUGGACCUUUUAUA